This 327-nucleotide ribosomal RNA is filed under the name Triticum aestivum (bread wheat). Its description in RNAcentral is "partial small subunit ribosomal RNA". The record is from RNAcentral. Lineage: Eukaryota; Viridiplantae; Streptophyta; Magnoliopsida; Poales; Poaceae.
AUGAAAGCUCUAGUUUGGAACUGUCAGGGGUUGGGGAACGCCCCGGCAGUUCGAGCUCUGUUGGAUGUCCAACGAAGAACUGAUCCUGAUGUGGUAUUUUUGUCGGAGACCCACUUAGAGCGCUAUCCGGCAGAGUGUUUGAAGCGGCGACUUAAGAUGGAUGGUAUGAUUGUUAAUCCGAGUGAUGGUAGAGAAGGUGGAGUUGUUCUAUACUGGAAGAAAGGAAUAGAAGUUGUUCAACUGUUCUCAGAUCCGAACUAUAUUGAUGUGAGAAUAGAUGAUAAUGUUGGUCCGUGGAAGGUUGACAGGCAUGUAUGGGGAAUUUAA